RNAcentral lists this small nuclear RNA (171 nucleotides) under Otolemur garnettii (small-eared galago). Its description in RNAcentral is "U2 spliceosomal RNA". It matches the Rfam family "U2 spliceosomal RNA". Rfam says of the family: U2 is a small nuclear RNA (snRNA) component of the spliceosome (involved in pre-mRNA splicing). The record is from Rfam by way of RNAcentral. Lineage: Eukaryota; Metazoa; Chordata; Mammalia; Primates; Galagidae.
AUCUCUUCUCAGGCUUUUGGCUAAGAUCAAGCGUAGUAUCUGUUCUUAUCAGUUUAAUAUACUCUGUACAAAAAUACAGUUAGAACUUCUUCUUUUUUUUUUUUUUUAGACAGAGCCUCAAGCUGUCGCCCUGGGUAGAGCUCUGUGACAUCACAGCUCAUGGCAACCUCC